UGCCGAUUAUGGAGCAGAGACGCAAAUCAUCCGCCGUGUGGGACCAUUUUGAUGUCCUGGAGAAUAAGGUGAAAUGUCGAAUUUGCCAAGUCGAAUUGUCAUACACCAACAGAAGCACCUCCACCAUGCUGAGGCAUUAUCGGGCCAAGCAUGAGAAUGAAGUUCGCGAUACACCCAGUAUUACGCCAGGUUCCAGGAAGCAGCUGUACUGGAAGGACCAACACACUUGUUUCCCAAACCUCUCCCACCUCGCAAAGGAGUUCCUUUGUACGCCAGCCUCAUCCGUCCCUUGUGAGCGUGUGUUCUCCACAGCAGGAGAAAUUGCUUGUAAAAGACGCAACAGGCUGAAGUUUAAAACAUUGGAGCAUCUUAUUUUUCUCAAUAAAAAAUUGUGAAGUCAAAGCCCACAAGCAUCCUCA
This is a long non-coding RNA of Hippocampus zosterae (dwarf seahorse), 419 nucleotides long. RefSeq lists it as uncharacterized. Lineage: Eukaryota; Metazoa; Chordata; Actinopteri; Syngnathiformes; Syngnathidae. The transcript is spliced from 3 exons. The record is from RefSeq and is a predicted model, not a curated record.